GACGAACGCUGGCGGCGUGCUUAACACAUGCAAGUCGAACGGAAAGGCCCCUUUGGGGGUCCUCGAGUGGCGAACGGGUGAGUAACACGUGAGUAACCUGCCCUUGACUUCGGGAUAACUUCAGGAAACUGGGGCUAAUACCGGAUAGGAAUCCUUGCUGCAUGGUGGGGGUUGGAAAGCUUCGGCGGUUUUGGAUGGACUCGCGGCUUAUCAGCUUGUUGGUGGGGUAGUGGCUUACCAAGGCUUUGACGGGUAGCCGGCCUGAGAGGGCGACCGGCCACAUUGGGACUGAGAUACGGCCCAGACUCCUACGGGAGGCAGCAGUGGGGAAUAUUGCACAAUGGGCGGAAGCCUGAUGCAGCAACGCCGCGUGCGGGAUGACGGCCUUCGGUUUGUAAACCGCUUUCAGCAGGGGCGAAGCUUGUGGUGACGGUACCUGCAGAAGAAGCACCGGCUAACUACGUG
Molecule: ribosomal RNA, 465 nt
Filed under: uncultured bacterium
Lineage: Bacteria
Description: partial 16S ribosomal RNA
Rfam family: Bacterial small subunit ribosomal RNA
Source: RNAcentral